This 253-nucleotide ribosomal RNA is filed under the name uncultured bacterium. RNAcentral's name for it is "partial 16S ribosomal RNA". It matches the Rfam family "Bacterial small subunit ribosomal RNA", at positions 524 to 776 of the family's 1533-position model. The record is from RNAcentral.
UACAGAGGUCCCAAGCGUUGUUCGGAUUCACUGGGCGUAAAGGGUGCGUAGGCGGCGAGGUAAGUCGGAUGUGAAAUCUCGGAGCUCAACUCCGAAAUGGCAUUGGAAACUACCUUGCUCGAGGGUUGGAGGGGGGACUGGAAUACUUGGUGUAGCAGUGAAAUGCGUAGAUAUCAAGUGGAACACCAGUGGCGAAGGCGAGUCCCUGGACAACUCCUGACACUGAGGCACGAAAGCUAGGGGAGCAAACAGG